GGACCCGCACAAGCAGUGGAGUAUGUGGUUUAAUUCGAAGCAACGCGAAGAACCUUACCAGGUCUUGACAUCCCUCUGACCGGUGCAGAGAUGUGCCUUUCCUUCGGGACAGAGGAGACAGGUGGUGCAUGGUUGUCGUCAGCUCGUGUCGUGAGAUGUUGGGUUAAGUCCCGCAACGAGCGCAACCCUUAGCUUUAGUUGCCAGCAUGAGAGAUGGGCACUCUAGAGCGACUGCCGGUGACAAACCGGAGGAAGGUGGGGAUGACGUCAAAUCAUCAUGCCCCUUAUGACCUGGGCUACACACGUACUACAAUGGCCGGUACAGAGGGAAGCGAAGGAGCGAUCUGGAGCGAAUCCCAAAAAAGCGGUCUCAGUUCGGAUUGCAGGCUGCAACUCGCCUGCAUGAAGUCGGAAUUGCUAGUAAUCGCGGAUCAGCAUGCCGCGGUGAAUACGUUCCCGGGUCUU
This 465-nucleotide ribosomal RNA is filed under the name uncultured bacterium. RNAcentral describes it as "bacterial SSU rRNA". It matches the Rfam family "Bacterial small subunit ribosomal RNA", at positions 917 to 1382 of the family's 1533-position model. The record is from RNAcentral.